UCCUGGCGGCGAGUGGCGAACGGGUGAGUAAUACAUCGGAACGUGCCCAAUCGUGGGGGAUAACGCAGCGAAACGUGUGCUAAUACCGCAUACGAUCUACGGAUGAAAGCAGGGGAUCGCAAGACCUUGCGCGAAUGGAGCGGCCGAUGGCAGAUUAGGUAGUUGGUGAGGUAAAGGCUCACCAAGCCUUCGAUCUGUAGCUGGUCUGAGAGGACGACCAGCCACACUGGGACUGAGACACGGCCCAGACUCCUACGGGAGGCAGCAGUGGGGAAUUUUGGACAAUGGGCGAAAGCUGAUCCAGCCAUGCCGCGUGCAGGAUGAAGGCCUUCGGGUUGUAAACUGCUUUUGUACGGAACGAAACGGUCUUUUCUAAUACAGAAGGCUAAUGACGGUACCGUAAGAAUAAGCACCGGCUAACUAC
This 424-nucleotide ribosomal RNA is filed under the name Variovorax sp. 5P-3. RNAcentral's name for it is "bacterial SSU rRNA". It matches the Rfam family "Bacterial small subunit ribosomal RNA", at positions 83 to 504 of the family's 1533-position model. Lineage: Bacteria; Pseudomonadati; Pseudomonadota; Betaproteobacteria; Burkholderiales; Comamonadaceae. The record is from RNAcentral.